CCCUUAGAUGUCCUGGGCUGCACGCGCGCUACACUGAUGUGUCCAGUAAGCACCUAACCUCUUCCGAAAGGAACGGGUAACCUUUGCAAAGCACAUCGUGAUGGGGAUAGAUUAUUGCAAUUAUUAGUCUUGAACGAGGAAUUCCUAGUAAGCACAAGUCAUCAGCUUGUGUUGAUUACGUCCCUGCCCUUUGUACACACCGCCCGUCGCUCCUACCGAUUGAUUGAUCCGGUGAAUUACAUAGAAUUUUGCGUUUUACAUGACGGAAGACGAAGUGUUUUAAACCUUAUCAUUUAGAGGAAGGAGAAGUCGUAACA
This 317-nucleotide ribosomal RNA is filed under the name uncultured eukaryote. Its description in RNAcentral is "partial 18S ribosomal RNA". It matches the Rfam family "Eukaryotic small subunit ribosomal RNA", at positions 1470 to 1796 of the family's 1831-position model. The record is from RNAcentral.